GAUGAACGCUGGCGGCGUGCCUAACACAUGCAAGUCGAACGAACCUAAUCUUCGGAAAGGGUUAGUGGCGCACGGGUGAGUAACACGUAGGUGACCUGCCCUGGAGUGGGGGAUAACUUCUCGAAAGAGAGGCUAAUACCGCAUAUGCUCGGCCAUUCAGUUGGUCGAGUAAAGCUCCGGCGCUCCAGGAGGGGCCUGCGUCCGAUUAGCUAGUUGGUGGGGUAAUGGCUCACCAAGGCUAUGAUCGGUAGCUGGUCUGAGAGGACGAUCAGCCACACUGGCACUGACACACGGGCCAGACUCCUACGGGAGGCAGCAGUGAGGAAUAUUGGUCAAUGGGCGAAAGCCUGAACCAGCAACGCCGCGUGAGGGAUGAAGGCCUUCGGGUCGUAAACCUCUUUCUGGGAGAAGAGACAAGGACGGUAUCCCAGGAAUAAGUCUCGGCUAACUACGUGCCAGCAGCCGCGGUAAAGUCGAUAUC
This 481-nucleotide ribosomal RNA is filed under the name uncultured bacterium. Its description in RNAcentral is "bacterial SSU rRNA". It matches the Rfam family "Bacterial small subunit ribosomal RNA", at positions 28 to 536 of the family's 1533-position model. The record is from RNAcentral.